UCGGCUACAGGAUUUGGAGGUUGUGUUUUUUUCCUCACCUUCUGUGCAAAGCAGCAUGAUUCACUUUGUAGUUCCUGCUUGGUGACCUCUCCUAGUUCCUCACCAUAUGUUCGCUACUGAUCAGACCCAUUGGUGAUUAAAUACUCAGCAGAGGUGAUUGAGCAGCCUUUGACACUUUGCACCCCCUACUGCCUGGAUUUCAAAGAGGAAAGCAACUUCUAGAUUGUCUCAAACGCACUGGGAACAUAAGGAGCAGCAGGCUUACAGAUGAGGAAACCUCUGUGAAACACAUUAAAUGAGUUCAGCUAUUCUUUUCUAAUGAUGGAAAAGCCUAAAAAACCCAAUAUAUCGAUGAUAAAAAUGUGAGCUGACAUCUCUGGCAAUGAAAGCAAAAGAGGGGAAGAUGGCAAUUCAAUGCUGAUAGUUGUCAUGGCUAUUUCAGUGCCAUACAGGAGAAGAUGGAGACCUGCAUGCCCUAGGUAUCCUGACCUCUGGACUUUUUGGAGAGAGCAGCAGCCUGGCAUGAUGUUGAUCAAGA
Pogoniulus pusillus (Red-fronted tinkerbird) is the source of this 538-nucleotide long non-coding RNA. RefSeq lists it as uncharacterized. The record is from RefSeq and is a predicted model, not a curated record. Lineage: Eukaryota; Metazoa; Chordata; Aves; Piciformes; Lybiidae. The transcript is spliced from 4 exons.